GGCUUUAUAGUGUAAGCAACAUCGUGGAUUGCAAAUCCUCAGAUACAAUUUAAAUAUUGUUAAAGCCU
RNAcentral lists this transfer RNA (68 nucleotides) under Arbacia lixula (black urchin). RNAcentral describes it as "transfer RNA-Cys". It matches the Rfam family "tRNA". From Rfam's summary of the family: Transfer RNA (tRNA) molecules are approximately 80 nucleotides in length. Their secondary structure includes four short double-helical elements and three loops (D, anti-codon, and T loops). Lineage: Eukaryota; Metazoa; Echinodermata; Echinoidea; Arbacioida; Arbaciidae. The record is from RNAcentral.